RNAcentral lists this microRNA (23 nucleotides) under Monodelphis domestica (gray short-tailed opossum). RNAcentral describes it as "mdo-miR-7398a-5p". Lineage: Eukaryota; Metazoa; Chordata; Mammalia; Didelphimorphia; Didelphidae. The record is from miRBase by way of RNAcentral.
UGUGUAGAGGCGAGAAAUAUGCU